Molecule: long non-coding RNA, 704 nt
Organism: Salvia splendens (bonfire salvia)
Lineage: Eukaryota; Viridiplantae; Streptophyta; Magnoliopsida; Lamiales; Lamiaceae
Exons: 3
Source: RefSeq, a predicted model, not a curated record
UCUGUCUUGGAGUUGUUGAUGAAAUUGUAGUUGAAAAUGGGAGAAGAGAAGGGAAUCGAUCAUUGAGCACAAGCUCCGCACGGUUGGUAACUUUGUAUUGUCGCACACAAAUAGUAUUUUGGUUAAUAAUAUUUGUGAGAUUUAAUUUUGGAGGAGUACAUGCUUGUUUGAAGGGAAAGUGGGAUUGUGGGUUCAAUGGCGUACAAUUGGUCUCAGCCGAAUAUGAAAACCAGCGUUAAGAUCAUUCAUUCAAGACCAAUAUAUUGCCAAUCCGUGGUCUGAAUUCGGAGAACUGCUACUGUCAAAUUGAUGAUUCUACAUUGUCAUCUUUUGAGAUUGCACGCGCAAGCACUAACUCUUGCUGCACUAUCCGGUGCUGCCAUUGUCGAAUACUACGAUCACAAAUCAGGAGCCAGAGCAAAGCGUGUGGCCAAGUUCUUGGACAUCAAGGAAAACCAACACAGGGAUUGAUGUUCUGAAGGAAAGAACAAACUCGCCCUCGGUUUUUUGCUACGAAGCUUUCGAAUUAUUGAGGCUUCUUCAGAUUUGAAUUUUGAUCAUGGCUGUGUGUGCAAACUCCAAAUAUUUUUGUACUAUCAAAUCCUUCCCUUUACAAUGCAAUUGGGCCUUCAUCUUAGGCCUAAACCUAAAUUAAAAUUAAGACCAAGGCCAUCUGUUAUUAAAAUCUGUACAUAUUAAUUCAA